AUGACAGGCUGAGGUUCUUGCAGAAAGAAGAAGGAGUCACUGUUUCACUAAGAGAUGGAGUGAUUUGAGAAAAACAGUUUCAGCCUCUUGAGAUUGAAGGUGGAGGGAAAAUGGCUGCUCUGCGCUGGGAUCAGAAUAGAAUACAGUAACAGAGUUGGAAGGAAUCUUGGAGAUAUUCUAGAUCAGUGGUGGCUAACCCUUUGUGGUGGCUCCUGUGACAAAAAUUGUGCACUUGGUUGCAUGCUCACGCUCGCAUGCCAGCACCCAGAAGGCA
RNAcentral lists this long non-coding RNA (274 nucleotides) under Laticauda laticaudata (blue-ringed sea krait). Its description in RNAcentral is "lncRNA (ENSLLTG00000000620.1)". Lineage: Eukaryota; Metazoa; Chordata; Lepidosauria; Squamata; Elapidae. The record is from RNAcentral.